GACGAACGCUGGCGGCGUGCUUAACACAUGCAAGUCGAACGGAAAGGCCUUUUCGGAGGUAUUCGAGUGGCGAACGGGUGAGUAACACGUGGGUGAUAUGCCCUGCACUCUGGGAUAAGCCUGGGAAACUGGGUCUAAUACCGGAUAGGACCGCACUUUAGUGUGUGUGGUGGCAAGUUUUUUCGGUGUAGGAUGAGCCCGCGGCCUAUCAGUUUGUUGGGGGGGUAAUGGUCUACCAAGGCGGCGACGGGUAGCCGGACUGAGAGGUUGGUCGGCCACAUUGGGACUGAGAUACGGCCCAGACUCCUACGGGAGGCAGCAGUGGGGAAUAUUGCACAAUGGGCGCAAGCCUGAUGCAGCGACGCCGCGUGGGGGAUGACAGCCUUCGGGUUGUAAACGCCUUUCGCCAGGGACGAAGCGUUUUGUGACGGUACCUGGAGAAGAAGCACCGGCUAACUACGUG
RNAcentral lists this ribosomal RNA (463 nucleotides) under uncultured bacterium. RNAcentral describes it as "partial 16S ribosomal RNA". It matches the Rfam family "Bacterial small subunit ribosomal RNA", at positions 28 to 507 of the family's 1533-position model. The record is from RNAcentral.